Molecule: ribosomal RNA, 448 nt
Filed under: uncultured bacterium
Lineage: Bacteria
Description: bacterial SSU rRNA
Rfam family: Bacterial small subunit ribosomal RNA
Source: RNAcentral
CUCCAGACUCCUACGGGAGGCAGCAGUGGGGAAUAUUGCACAAUGGGGGAAACCCUGAUGCAGCGACGCCGCGUGAGCGAUGAAGUAUUUCGGUAUGUAAAGCUCUAUCAGCAGGGAAGAAGAUGACGGUACCUGACUAAGAAGCCCCGGCUAACUACGUGCCAGCAGCCGCGGUAAUACGUAGGGGGCAAGCGUUAUCCGGAUUUACUGGGUGUAAAGGGAGCGUAGACGGCGGCGCAAGCCAGAUGUGAAAGCCCGGGGCUCAACUCCGGGACUGCAUUUGGAACUGUGUGGCUGGAGUGUCGGAGAGGCAGGCGGAAUUCCUAGUGUAGCGGUGAAAUGCGUAGAUAUUAGGAGGAACACCAGUGGCGAAGGCGGCCUGCUGGACGAUGACUGACGUUGAGGCUCGAAAGCGUGGGGAGCAAACAGGAUUAGAUACCCCGGUAAC